CCCUUCGGGGAAGUUCCGAGACAGGUGGCUGCAUGGCUGUCGUCAGCUCGUGCCGUGAGGUGUUGGGUUAAGUCCCGCACGAGCGCAACCCCUAUUGCCAGUUGCUACCAGGUAAUGCUGGGCACUCUGGUGAGACUGCCCCGGUUAACGGGGAGGAAGGUGGGGACGACGUCAAGUCAUCAUGGCCCUUACGCCUAGGGCUACACACGUACUACAAUGGCGCAUACAAAGGGCAGCGAUACCGCGAGGUGGAGCCAAUCCCAAAAAAGUGCGUCCCAGUCCGGAUUGCAGUCUGCAACUCGACUGCAUGAAGUUGGAAUCGCUAGUAAUUCGAGAUCAGCAUGCUCGGGUGAAUGCGUUCCCGGGCCUU
Molecule: ribosomal RNA, 370 nt
Filed under: uncultured Desulfovibrio sp.
Lineage: Bacteria; Pseudomonadati; Thermodesulfobacteriota; Desulfovibrionia; Desulfovibrionales; Desulfovibrionaceae
Description: bacterial SSU rRNA
Rfam family: Bacterial small subunit ribosomal RNA
Source: RNAcentral